RNA transcript from Epinephelus lanceolatus (giant grouper), 3555 nucleotides. It is a transcript of the gene named sialate:O-sulfotransferase 1, with no coding region annotated. Lineage: Eukaryota; Metazoa; Chordata; Actinopteri; Perciformes; Serranidae. The record is from RefSeq and is a predicted model, not a curated record.
GAAAGUUUUGCUUGGUCCUUGUCCUCCAUUACAAUGACAAAAGCAACACUACAGUAAAGUCGUAGUUCCUUUGCCAGACACACACAAAGCUGAAUAUCCUUCAAAUGGCUGACGGGUGAUUUACAGUUUUUUUUUUUUUUUAUCCCGCUGAAAGAAGUGUUGUUUAGGUGCAGCGCGCAUGCUGCUUCUUAAGUGAUUACCGACAAAAUCAUGGUCCAAUGCAGAGCAGGCUGCAUGGCGCUGUGACGCUUGGUGUCGGGAAAUAUGAUACGGUAGCUAUAGUGAAGCCGCUGUUUAUUAUCAGGCCCCAUCAGCGCGAGGUGCGGACUGCUGGAGACGCGUCAGUUUGCUCAGUACAGGAGCUGUGAUGCGUUCACCAAUGCAAAUGACAAAGAUUCCCCUCCUCCUCAUCCCAUUUCCCUCUCACCAGCACACACACUCACGCACAGCGUACUGCCUGCGCUUCAUAGUGCCGCGCCAGCCUUUGACAGCGACGGAGAGCAGCACUGACUGGGAGAGAGAGAGAGAGAGAAAGAAAGAGAGCGAGAGAGAGAUUAUAUAAUAGCAGCGGUGGGAAAUGCUGGAGAGCAGUGGAGCCUUCACUGGACAGUAAGCGGGGAAAACAGCAAAUACAACGGCCAUUAACCGAUAACCUGAGUGAUCGCACGAUACAAGGAUGCCGAGCGUCCACCUCACGGCUGAAGCUUUUCCCCAUGAUUAUCCUGAAGUCGGUGACCACAGCCUUGGAUAUUAAACCUCUUUUUUGUGGCAUAUCCAUUGUUCCACCACUGCUGUUGGACUCUGUUGUGACGAAGGACCAAGAUACAAUGUCUACAACAUUACCAGAUGCUGCAGGUCUUUCUAAGAUCGUGAAGUUGUAAGUAGGUUACAGAUCUCCUUACUGCUGAUCCAUGAAAUGGCCUUUCACUGAGGUAAGAGACAGUAAACAGGAUAAUGGCGCCCCUCUACAGACUGCACUGCCUCUUAAAGCGGGCUCAGAUGCUUCUGCUCUGUCUGGGCAUUGCCUAUCUGAUGGCAGGCAGUAUCCUGCUCCUGCAGCGCUCCAGCAUCAGAGUAGCCCAGUCAAACCUUGCCUGCCAACCACCCUUGCUGUCCCUCGCGGCACCUCCUACUGCCUUCAGGACUGCCGGCCUGGGUGUGAGGGCACGUUCCAGAUGGGCUGCCAUUCAGCCUGUGUCCAGAGGGGGAGCAAGGGCAGGGCGACACUGGCCUGCUUCCCAAAACCUGGGGGUGCAACACUUGCAUCACCGCUGGUUUCACAGUUUGCUGCCAGAGAGCACAGAGCACAGAGUCUCACCCCACAAGAGCAGCAGGCAUAAAGGAACCUACAUGGGUUGCUUUCUGCACAAUGCCAGUGAUCGAGCCCUCGGAGGAACCAUGCUUUAUGACCUGCGCAAAAUGACCAGUUCUCUGUGUCAAGACACCUGCUCAGAAAGUGGGUACCAGUAUGCAGGUCUGGAGUAUGGAGCUGAAUGCCACUGCGGGAACCGGAUCAGUAGCCCACGGGCUCAAGAGGAGGAUUGUAGUCUGAUGUGUCGGGGUGAGAGGGGGUCUCCCUGUGGAGGUGUGGGUCGAGUCUCCAUUUACAAGGUGGAGGAGCAGCUGCCAGGUCACAGAAAAUUCAGAAAUGUUCACUAUCGCGGUUGCUUCAAGUUGCUGAAGAACACCAUCAUCACCUUUCCCAUCUACACCUUUCAGCUCAACCUAACCAGACAGUCCUGCAUCGAGACCUGUACAGAUAAGGAGCUUCCGCUGGCUGUGUUCAAGGAGCCCCACUGUUUCUGUACAUGGAUGUCCUCUCUUUUCGGCCUCAACCAGCAGUCUGACAACCAGCAGUGUUUGGGGAACACUGGGCUGAAUCACACAAGCGACUCCACACCCACAGCAUCCAUUGAGCAUGACCACUACCACGUGUAUCACACGCCAGUGCUUGACUCCAGGUGCAAAGAGAGGAUGUUUCUGCCUCAGAGAUCCAGCUCCCUCGUGGCUCUUUCUAGUUUUCCUGGUGCAGGCAACACCUGGGUACGACACCUGAUUGAGCUUGUGACUGGCUACUACACUGGCAGCUUCUAUUUUGAUGGCACACUGUACAACAAAGGUUUCAAAGGAGAGAAGGACUACUGGAAGAGUGGCCGCAGCAUCUGCAUAAAGACCCACGAGAGCGGCCAGAGGGAGAUUGAAAUGUUCGAUUCUGCCAUCCUGCUGAUUCGAAACCCUUACCGCUCCCUCAUGGCUGAAUUCAACCGUAAGUGUGCGGGACAUCUAGGACACGCUACAGAUGCACAGUGGAAAAGCAAAGCUUGUGAGACCCCCUCGCCAAGCACAUUAUCUGCGGCCAGUCCUAGCAUCCCCACCGGUAAAGAUGAGAGCCCUAGCCCUGCUGCCUGUGUUGUGGACAUCACUGAUGAUGAUGACAGUAGCAGCCUUUUGUCGUCAACUACAGCAGUGACUCCCUUUACCCUGGCAAAGAAGGCCCAGUUGACCAAAGAAAAGGUGGAGGAAGUACAUAGAGCGGUCACAAAAUUUGCGGUGAAGGGCCUUCACCCAUUUUCCAUAGAGUCACCAUCAUUCAGCUCUCCUCUGCCCUGCUGCUGACUCCUACUGCAGGGUGCACAUUCAAGUUUGUGUGGGGCCGUGGCUUUGGACAGAGCACUGACAGGAGGGGGAGGACGGGGUGGAGCUUAGAGGAGGUGCCGCUUUCAAAUCUUGCUAGCUCUCCAACAUUACCAACUAAAGCUUUAAAGGCAGGCUGGAAGUAGGUGUUGCUGAUGCGUGGUGGGACAGGUUGGCGAGGGCAGCAAUUGCAAAUGCUACAGCAGCAGCACCACAGGUAUUUCACUGUAUGUAUCUCUCUGUGUACUCAAUACUCAGUGCUCAUUUUCAAAUGCAUCAUGCCCAUGUUAUUGAUUCUGUGAUAAAGUAAUGUUGUUUGUGGGAAAUGUGUGUGUGUGUGUGUGUGUGUGUGUCUACAGCCUCCAACAGAGGGCCCUCAGACAGAAGUUGAGGUUGAAGAUGAGGAGGAGGAGGAGAUGGCAUAAAAAACUCCAAGAAGAGCUCAAAAGAAGUCAGUCCUGGAACAGGUGUUUAAAGAUGAAGACCAAGAGCUUCUCAAGGAAGCUUAGACAACAAGCAGAGCUCUGUCCAUCACUGAGCAAGUGCAGAAAAAGAUAGACAUCUACAAAGGCCUGCCUGCAAUCCCAUCCCAAGAGGGAUACCCUCCCUAAUUCAUCUGCUCUCUCAGAAAACUAUUUGUGCAUCCAGGCCUCAUCAACCCCAUCAGAGUUUUCUCCACUGCUGGACAUACGAUUAGUCAGGAACGAUGGCGCAUAUUGCCAGAGAAAGCAAACGUGAAGGACUGUAAAAUUAGGUGAAUUGGUUGUGUGUGUUCUGUGUGUUUGUGUUUUGCACCCAAAGUUUAAGAUGGAGAUUACCCUGGUGGUAAUGGUAAAUUAUGGCUUUAUUGCUAGGUUUGAUACAGAAUAGUUUUAUUUGAGAUUUGUUGUGACAUUUAUUUUAUAUUGGUUAAUUUAUUAC